CCUACGGGAGGCUGCAGUGAGGAAUAUUGGUCAAUGGGCGGAAGCCUGAACCAGCCAAGUCGCGUGAGGGAAUAAGGCCCUACGGGUCGUAAACCUCUUUUACCAGGGAACAAGGUCGGGGACGUGUCCCUUCCCGUAGAGUACCCGUGGAUAAGGCAUGGGCUAACUCCGUGCCAGCAGCCGCGGUAAUACGGAGGAUGCGAGCGUUAUCCGGAUUUAUUGGGUUAAAGGGGUGCGUAGUCGGGCUUUUAAGUCAGCGGUAAAAAUUCGGGGCUCAACCUCGUCCGGCCGUUGAAACUGGGGGCCUUGAGUGGGCGAGAAGAAGGCGGAAUGCGUGGUGUAGCGGUGAAAUGCAUAGAUAUCACGCAGAACCCCGAUUGCGAAGGCAGCCUACCGGCGCCCUACUGACGCUGAGGCACGAAAGUGCGGGGAUCGAACAGGAUUAGAUACCCCUGUAGUC
This 460-nucleotide ribosomal RNA is filed under the name uncultured bacterium. Its description in RNAcentral is "partial 16S ribosomal RNA". It matches the Rfam family "Bacterial small subunit ribosomal RNA", at positions 338 to 795 of the family's 1533-position model. The record is from RNAcentral.